AUUGAACGCUGGCGGCAUGCCUUACACAUGCAAGUCGAACGGUAACAGGUCUUCGGAUGCUGACGAGUGGCGAACGGGUGAGUAAUGCAUCGGAACGUGCCCAGUAGUGGGGGAUAGCCCGGCGAAAGCCGGAUUAAUACCGCAUACGACCUGAGGGUGAAAGGGGGGGAUCGCAAGACCUCUCGCUAUUGGAGCGGCCGAUGUCAGAUUAGGUAGUUGGUGGGGUAAAGGCCUACCAAGGCAACGAUCUGUAGUUGGUCUGAGAGGACGACCAGCCACACUGGGACUGAGACCCGGCCCAGACUCCUACGGGAGGCAGCAGUGGGGAAUUUUGGACAAUGGGCGCAAGCCUGAUCCAGCAAUGCCGCGUGCAGGAAGAAGGCCUUCGGGUUGUAAACUGCUUUUGUCAGGGAAGAAAUCUUCUGGGUUAAUACCUCGGGAGGAUGACGGUACCUGAAGAAUAAGCACCGGCUAACUACGUGCCAGCCGCCGCAGUAA
This 498-nucleotide ribosomal RNA is filed under the name uncultured bacterium. Its description in RNAcentral is "partial 16S ribosomal RNA". It matches the Rfam family "Bacterial small subunit ribosomal RNA", at positions 30 to 523 of the family's 1533-position model. The record is from RNAcentral.